GGGUGUAUAGCUCAGUGGUAGAGCAUUCGGCUGCAGAUCGAGAGGUUACAUGUUACGAUGUUUUGCUUA
Trichonephila inaurata madagascariensis is the source of this 69-nucleotide non-coding RNA. The record is from the annotation of a GenBank genome assembly. NCBI's taxonomy places the organism in Eukaryota, Metazoa, Arthropoda, Arachnida, Araneae, Nephilidae.